AGAUCAGCUUUUAUGAAAGCUAGCAUAUAAAAAAUUUAAAAUUGGUAAUAAAAUUGAAAGGUAAGGCCAUAAUAAAAAUAUUCCGAGAUUCUCAUCCCCGCCCGCCCUGAUUUUAAACCCCCGCCUCGAUUUUUUUUAUUUCUGUUUUUCUUCGUCUUAAUUCUGAUCGGGAUCGGUAUUCAUCUAUCAUUCUACUUUCGUUUUAAAUCUCGCGAAUGUCAACAUGAUUUUGACAGCUGAAAAGAUGGUUUUGGGGUUUUUCACCACAAGAGCAAAUUAUACAACUUUAUUCUACAAAAUGUUAGAGACUGAGACUUGGAGUCAAAGUCAACAGACACGCUUGCAUGGACAUGAAGGAUGUAAAGAACUAGAGUAUUAUAACUGAAAGCAUUUUGUCUGGAUUAGUUUAUGGAAACAGAAGGAUUUAGUAUUGGUAUCCUGAAUUUGUCAACUACUAGCCAAGAUCCUGUAUGUAAGCUGAAUGUGGAGGACAGAUGUACACAUAGUACUAGUAUAGAGGGUAUCCUGAAUUUGUCAACUACUAGCCAAGAUCCUGUAUGUAAGCUGAAUGUGGAGGACAGAUGUACACACAGUACUAGUAUAG
Molecule: long non-coding RNA, 604 nt
Organism: Saccostrea cuccullata (small rock oyster)
Lineage: Eukaryota; Metazoa; Mollusca; Bivalvia; Ostreida; Ostreidae
Exons: 4
Source: RefSeq, a predicted model, not a curated record